This 74-nucleotide transfer RNA is filed under the name Rondeletia loricata (redmouth whalefish). RNAcentral's name for it is "tRNA-Leu (UUR)". It matches the Rfam family "tRNA". Rfam says of the family: Transfer RNA (tRNA) molecules are approximately 80 nucleotides in length. The record is from RNAcentral. Lineage: Eukaryota; Metazoa; Chordata; Actinopteri; Beryciformes; Rondeletiidae.
GUUAAGGUGGCAGAGCCCGGCCAUUGCAAAAGACCUAAGCCCUUUAAAUAGAGGUUCAAAUCCUCUCCUUAACU